RNAcentral lists this unclassified non-coding RNA (253 nucleotides) under uncultured Gaiellales bacterium. RNAcentral describes it as "contains 16S-23S intergenic spacer region". It matches the Rfam family "Bacterial small subunit ribosomal RNA", at positions 524 to 776 of the family's 1533-position model. The record is from RNAcentral. Lineage: Bacteria; Bacillati; Actinomycetota; Thermoleophilia; Gaiellales.
UACGUAGGGGGCAAGCGUUGUCCGGAAUCAUUGGGCGUAAAGCGCGUGUAGGCGGCCCGGUAAGUCUGAUGUGAAAGCCCGAGGCUCAACCUCGGAACUGCAUUGGAUACUGCCGGGCUAGAGUCCGGAAGAGGAGAGUGGAAUUCCUGGUGUAGCGGUGGAAUGCGCAGAUAUCAGGAAGAACACCAAUGGCGAAGGCAGCUCUCUGGUACGUGACUGACGCUGAGACGCGAAAGCGUGGGUAGCGAACAGG